Long non-coding RNA from Corvus hawaiiensis (hawaiian crow), 820 nucleotides. RefSeq lists it as uncharacterized. The transcript is spliced from 2 exons. Lineage: Eukaryota; Metazoa; Chordata; Aves; Passeriformes; Corvidae. The record is from RefSeq and is a predicted model, not a curated record.
CGUUGCGUCCACGCUGUCUGAACACACGGGAGUGGAGUCGCUCUGUUUUGCGAUGCAUACACUGUACAGAGUGAUAGAUACCCUAUGGAAGUACCAUAGAGAGAGUUUAGAGGCCAUCAAUGUCUAAAAACCAAGUAGUGGUUCCAUCUGAUAAUGACAUCAUUUCUACUAGUAAUGUUAAUUUUGUCAAAUGCGACUUUGAUGCUAUAUUUUCUACCAAAAUAGGUAGGAUGGAAGCUUCCCCACAUACCAAAUAAUUUGGAUAAAAAUGCCACAGGAGAGUCUUAGAAGGCUUCUGCUUUUCUAAGGAAGGAUGUAUGCAUGGGAUACAAAGAAAACAAGAAGUGAAGAAUGGAAGUAAAAGAACCUCUGCUUUGUCUAAUGAGGUUGUCACUAAUCAGAAAUGGAACAGAAAAACUAAAGAGAUUUGUCCUGGUGCUUUCUGAUGAAAUGUGUUCAAGACUGCUGGAGAGCUCCAUGAUCUAAAAUGAGAGUGGAAGAUGGCAUAGAGAAAGAGCAAAAGUCUCUGGAUCUCAUUAAUGAUGUGCUAAUAUGCUCCUCAAGUUUUGAACAACAAAGGAAUGAGAUUCCCAGGCAUUUUUUAUGGUCAUCAGUGUUGAAUAAAAUUUCUGUCUCGGACUUUCCAUAGAGUUUCUGCCAUCUCUUACUUCUGUUUGGGCAUUAGAGGAGGAUGGUAAGGCUGAUAUGUGUUCACACAUCAGCCAUAACAGGGCCAUAAUCUUCAGCAGGGCCAUCAUCAUGAUUGGUAUUUAUCUAGAUAUGUGUAUGGUUGAAUAAAACAACUUGCUCUCUGACUCCA